This 856-nucleotide long non-coding RNA is filed under the name Astyanax mexicanus (Mexican tetra). RNAcentral describes it as "lncRNA (ENSAMXG00005011930.1)". Lineage: Eukaryota; Metazoa; Chordata; Actinopteri; Characiformes; Acestrorhamphidae. The record is from RNAcentral.
GUUGGUCUUCUCUCUCUCUCUCUUUUGCUCUUUUAGCUACAUCCAGUGUCAACAGUGUGUCGGCACUGAAAGGAGUGGAAAGCACUGAAUCCACUGUUACUAGUAAGUAGAGAAACAACCUAAGUACCUAUAUUAGUAAAGCCCUUCAAUAAAAGUAGUAAUGUUAAAUAAAUCUCCUUAAUGGAAGUUUCUAGAGAGUUGCUGCAGUGUUACUAUUUUUUUUUUGGUGUUGCUGAAAAGUUAAUGUUUUGUGUUGAAAUUUACAGGAAGGAUGAGCAGUGGAUCCAAUGUUACCAGUAACGCCAGUAAGUAGAGACACAGCAUUCAAUUUUGCAUUAGUGAAGCUCCUAAUUUUUUUAAACUAGUGUUGAUAAAAAAAAAUCAUGUAUAAUAGCAAAUUGUCCUUAUCAUUGCCUAGACGAUGAAGCAGGAGUGAAUCAGACCAUCAGUAAGUACAAUCACUGCAUUGUAAUGACAUAAAAAAAUAGAUAGCAUUUUAAUGUUAUUGUAAUGCUUAGAGUAUCACAAUGUAUGCCUCAUUCUUUCAUUCACUACCCCUCCCUUUAGCUUCAUCCAAUGUAUACAGUGCGUUUGUAAGAAGUCGCACUGAGACUGGGUUAAUAUUACAAUGGAACAAAGUGAACAACAGCAGCAGUUACAGUUACAGACUGAACUACAAUGGAAUAAACAUUAAUAUCAAUGGAUCAGAGGGAGGAUCUGUAGUGAACUACACAUUCUCAUCUCUUUCUCCUGGAACUAAAUACACCUUCACUCUCUACACUGUAUUUGAAGGAGUGGAGAGCAGUGGAUUUAACUUUGCCAGUGUCACCAGUAAGUACAGCCAUGACAUUAGAGC